GCUGGAUGUGGUGGCGCGUGCCUGUAGUCCCAGUUACUCAGGAGGCCGAGGCUGGAGAGUGGCUUGAGCCCAGGAGUUCUGGGCUGUAGUACACUAUGCUGAUCAGGUGUCCACACUAAGUUCGGCAUCAAUAUGGUGACCUCUCAGGAGCAGGGGACCACCAGGUUGCCUAAGGAGGGGUGAACCGGCCCAGGCCAGAAACAGAGCAGGUCAAAACUCCCGUGCUGAUCAGUAGUGGGAUCAUGCCCGUGAACAGCCACUGCACUCCAGCCUGGGCCACAUAGCAAGAUCCUGUCUUUA
This is an unclassified non-coding RNA of Callithrix jacchus (white-tufted-ear marmoset), 300 nucleotides long. It matches the Rfam family "Metazoan signal recognition particle RNA". Rfam says of the family: The signal recognition particle (SRP) is a universally conserved ribonucleoprotein. It is involved in the co-translational targeting of proteins to membranes. The record is from Ensembl. NCBI's taxonomy places the organism in Eukaryota, Metazoa, Chordata, Mammalia, Primates, Cebidae.